This 496-nucleotide ribosomal RNA is filed under the name uncultured bacterium. Its description in RNAcentral is "partial 16S ribosomal RNA". It matches the Rfam family "Bacterial small subunit ribosomal RNA", at positions 28 to 506 of the family's 1533-position model. The record is from RNAcentral.
GAUGAACGCUGGCGGCGUGCCUAAUACAUGCAAGUCGAGCGAACAGACGAGGAGCUUGCUCCUCUGACGUUAGCGGCGGACGGGUGAGUAACACGUGGAUAACCUACCUAUAAGACUGGGAUAACUUCGGGAAACCGGAGCUAAUACCGGAUAAUAUAUUGAACCGCAUGGUUCAAUAGUGAAAGACGGUUUUGCUGUCACUUAUAGAUGGAUCCGCGCCGCAUUAGCUAGUUGGUAAGGUAACGGCUUACCAAGGCAACGAUGCGUAGCCGACCUGAGAGGGGGAUCGGCCACACUGGAACUGAGACACGGUCCAGACUCCGACGGGAGGCAGCAGUAGGGAAGCUUGCGCAAUGGGCGAAAGCCUGACGGAGCAACGCCGCGUGGGUGAUGAAGGUCUUCGGAUCGUAAAACUCUGUUAUUAGGGAAGAACAAAUGUGUAAGUAACUAUGCACGUCUUGACGGUACCUAAGCAGAAAGCCACGGCUAACUACGU